This 485-nucleotide ribosomal RNA is filed under the name uncultured bacterium. RNAcentral describes it as "partial 16S ribosomal RNA". It matches the Rfam family "Bacterial small subunit ribosomal RNA", at positions 29 to 523 of the family's 1533-position model. The record is from RNAcentral.
AGUGAACGCUGGCGGCGUGCUUAACACAUGCAAGUCGAACGAGAACGGAAUAUAGCUUGCUAUAUUUGUCAGCUAAGUGGCGCACGGGUGAGUAAUGUAUAGAUAACCUGUCCUUAAGAAAGGAAUAACAGUUGGAAACGACUGCUAAUGCCCUAUAUGCCUUUAAUACAUAAGUAUGCAAGGGAAACGCUUUAGUGCUUAAGGAUGGGUCUGUAUGGUAUCAGCUUGUUGGUGAGGUAAUGGCUCACCAAGGCUAUGACGCCUAACUGGUUUGAGAGGAUGAUCAGUCACACAGGAACUGAGACACGGUCCAGACUCCUACGGGAGGCAGCAGUGGGGAAUAUUGCACAAUGGACGAAGGUCUGAUGCAGCAACGCCGCGUGGAGGAUGACACAUUUCGGUGCGUAAACUCCUUUUAUAUAGGAAGAUAAUGACGUUACUCGCAGAAUAAGCACCGGCUAACUCUGUGCCAGCAGCCGCAGUAA